Pygocentrus nattereri (red-bellied piranha) is the source of this 524-nucleotide long non-coding RNA. RefSeq lists it as uncharacterized. The transcript has 2 exons. The record is from RefSeq and is a predicted model, not a curated record. NCBI's taxonomy places the organism in Eukaryota, Metazoa, Chordata, Actinopteri, Characiformes, Serrasalmidae.
UUUUCUGUUUCUGUUUCACCUUUUGGACUGUCUCUGACUGACUCCGUUUUUUGUGAUUUUUAUACUGUGCUAUUGGGUAAACAGGAAUUAUGGGUUCCAAUACAUCUGGAGAUUCUUCCUUACACAGGCCUACAGAUCCCCUCAGACAUCAAACAAUACAAUGGUGCAACAUGCUUCAAUAAAAGAAUGUUCUUAUAUGCAGCAAGACGGAGGGUUCCAUUUGUCCAGGAGACGGCUAUUGAAAUCAACAAACCGCAGUGAGGACAGGCUGCUGAGGUGGUGAUAAUUCCUGGCUUAUCUGUCUGCAUCACUCAGGCAUUUGUCAAUACAAGUAUCUGAGAAGUUGUAACCUGGUUGUCUCAUUGUAAUCUUCCAGUUGAUGUAUUUCUGUUCCUUCCCUUCAUGAUUGCCCCAGACAUGUAACUAGAUCUCUUUCUUCCCUAAAAGAAUGCAAUCAUUUCUUACUUUAACCAUAAACAUGCUGGUCUAGCAGUUUCAUCAGACUGCACAACAGCCAAGUUUCA